AACAAGGAAAAAUAGUUUAUUUUUAUAGCCGACCUCGGAAAGGGCUAGCAUCUGCUCAAAGCGGAGGUGCUGCACACGACUGCCAGGCCAGUGUCUUGGGCAGACAAGAUGCCCUUCGCAAAGCUGUGCACGCUGGCAAGUUUUUCUGGAUAAAGUCCGAAGUUUCCAUCAGCUUCCCCGCGGGCAGCUUAUCGUCCAAAAGGUUAAAAACGCACUAAUUAAGGAAAGCGGGAAGCUGGCCUUUCACCUUUCCCGUGCUCGGCAGCCUGAGCAGCUCCUCCAGGCUUUGUCUCUCAGGCCAGUCCGGCGAGGGCCAUGAAAGGCUAACAUUAACCAGAAGCCUUAAUCUGGGGCAGCUGGAGGCCCAUUUGGGUCACUUUUGGGACUCACGAUACUCUCCGGGUUCUCAGGAGCCCCCGACAGAGCGCCCAGGGGAAUGAAUGGGCAAUACCUCCAGCCUCCAGCUGUGGGACCUGGAGCCAGUGGUGAUGCCUCUUUGGGCCUCAGUUUCCCUUCAAAUUCGAGGACAUUUUGAGGCAUGUGUGCCUACAUCCUGGGCGUCCACGAAGAAGAAUACACUCUGUGAAGUCCCACCUUGCAUCAAGAUUUCUUGAAAGCAAAGAAGAAAGAAGCACUGAAGGAGGAGACUUUGCAAUGUCUUUGCUCAAAACAAAGACAAGGAGCCCAACCGUGACCUCCUCAGAGGGCCCCAGCAGGCUUGGGGCUCCGGCCCAGCCGUGUGAGCUGGCCUCGGGCUCCUCCGCAGCAGAGCAGGGACCGGAGUGAAGAAGCUGGGCCCAGAGAGGUUAAGCAACCCACCCAGAAGUGCACAGCACAGUAGCAAGGGAUGGAAAGCCUGGACUCAAAUUCAGGGCUUCAGACUCCAAAUUCCUCCCAGUUUGUGCUACGCACAAGCAGCUUAUUAUACAGGCUCACCCCCUCCCCCCAUCCAAGGUACCCGACAGGGAUGCUGGCGUCGCGGGAAUGCAGCUCGCGCCACUUGGUCGCCUCAGAGCGGACUACGCAGGCCACGCGGGCUGAGAUGCAGGGAAGUGACGGGGCAGGUACCCCACGCCAGCCCACCCUCGCCGACACCUUGGGGUGCAUCGCCCGCAGGUCCUCAUCCCCUCAUCUCUCGCGCGCCGCGCUCCUGUCAUCCUGUCGCGCAGCGCUGGGAGGCGGUACUGCCCCUUGGCGCCCCCAAAUUUGCUCCCAUCCCCACUCCUCCCUGCCUCCCAAGAUCCGUAAAGCAUCAGCCUUUCCGCCGCCCCUAACGAGCCG
This is a long non-coding RNA of Heterocephalus glaber (naked mole-rat), 1281 nucleotides long. The record is from Ensembl. NCBI's taxonomy places the organism in Eukaryota, Metazoa, Chordata, Mammalia, Rodentia, Bathyergidae.